This 354-nucleotide transfer-messenger RNA is filed under the name Eubacteriales Family XIII. Incertae Sedis bacterium. It matches the Rfam family "transfer-messenger RNA". From Rfam's summary of the family: Bacterial tmRNA, also known as 10Sa RNA or SsrA, is named for its dual tRNA and mRNA-like properties. Its role is to liberate the mRNA from a stalled ribosome. The record is from RNAcentral. Lineage: Bacteria; Bacillati; Bacillota; Clostridia; Peptostreptococcales; Anaerovoracaceae.
GGGGGCGUUUUAGAUUCGCUCGGGAGAGCGAUGGCGGACGUUGCGCGCCGAGAUCUCGUCUGACCUCGUAAAACAGGCGAAAAUUUUUAUAACUGCCAAUAACGAAUACGCAUUAGCCGCGUAAAGCGGCUACAUCCCGCCUUCGAAGCCUGCGGCGAGGGAUUUGGGGUGUCAAACAGCAGGCUGCCCGCCAUGGCUUCUGUUCGUAGCUGUCAGGGGAGAUAAAUCGAACUGGCUCUUGCCUGAUCCCGCUUCCGGGAGCGGGCAAAAGUGAGAAUAAAACGGAAGCUAUGCGCGUAGACGCGGGCGUGGUCGCCUUUCGAUACAGGGGUGCAAGUCCCCUCGCCUCCGCCA